This 632-nucleotide ribosomal RNA is filed under the name Lottia tenuisculpta. RNAcentral describes it as "partial 16S ribosomal RNA". It matches the Rfam family "Bacterial large subunit ribosomal RNA", at positions 1841 to 2605 of the family's 2925-position model. The record is from RNAcentral. Lineage: Eukaryota; Metazoa; Mollusca; Gastropoda; Lottiidae.
AUUCACGGGAGGUCACACCUGCACAAUGGCCUACGGGUUCAAUUGCCGCGGUAACCUGACCGUGCAAAGGUAGCGUAAUCAAUAGCCUAUUAAUUGUUGGCCUGUAUGAAUGGUACGACGCUGGUAGCGCUGUCUCAGUUGCAUUAAUUUGAACUUAACUUCUGGGUGAAAAGGCCCAGAUAAAUCUGAAAGACGAUUAGACCCUAUCGAACUUUAGGUAGACUAACUGCCAGGGAACCCGCUGGGCCAACGCCUGUACUGUUAUUUAAACCUUUGGUUGGGGUAACCGGGGACCAAGAAAAACGCCCCCCCCUCCUUUGAAAGUUGACACCCGCACAAUUAAGGUAAUUGCUGACUUUACCUUUAGGGCAAUUGGCCUUCAGGAGAGUAACUUAAUCGGACUGAAAAAAGCCUGACAAGGCAUAUUUUACUUAUAGAAUGAACCUAAAGAACUGCCCGUAAGGGCAGUCAUCUGUUAAUAGGGAAGAGUUACCGUAGGGAUAACAGCGUAAUCUUCCCGGCGAGACCACAUUAAGGGGAGGGUUUGCGACCUCGAUGUUGGCUUAGGGCCUCCUAGAAGUGCAGGGGCUUCUAAGGGUUGGUCUGUUCGACCAUUAAAGCCUUACGUGAUC